UUGACGGGGACCCGCACAAGCGGUGGAUGAUGUGGAUUAAUUCGAUGCAACGCGAAGAACCUUACUACCCUUGACAUGUCCGGAACUUGCCAGAGAUGGCUUGGUGCCGAAAGGGAAUCGGAACACAGGUGCUGCAUGGCUGUCGUCAGCUCGUGUCGUGAGAUGUUGGGUUAAGUCCCGCAACGAGCGCAACCCUUAUCAUUAGUUGCUACGCAAGGGCACUCUAAUGAGACUGCCGGUGACAAACCGGAGGAAGGUGGGGAUGACGUCAAGUCCUCAUGGCCCUUAUGGGUAGGGCUUCACACGUCAUACAAUGGUCGGUACAGAGGGUUGCCAAGCCGCGAGGCGGAGCCAAUCCCACAAAGCCGAUCGUAGUCCGGAUUGUUCUCUGCAACUCGAGAGCAUGAAGUCGGAAUCGCUAGUAAUCGCAGGUCAGCAUACUGCGGUGAAUACGUUCCCGGGUCUU
Molecule: ribosomal RNA, 466 nt
Filed under: uncultured Thiobacillus sp.
Lineage: Bacteria; Pseudomonadati; Pseudomonadota; Betaproteobacteria; Nitrosomonadales; Thiobacillaceae
Description: bacterial SSU rRNA
Rfam family: Bacterial small subunit ribosomal RNA
Source: RNAcentral